AGAGUUUGAUUCUGGCUCAGAACGAACGCUGGUGGCGUGUUUUAUACAUGCAAGUCGAGCGAGGACGGUAGCAAUACCGAGCCGAGCGGCGAACGGGUGAGUAACGCGUAAGCAAUCUGCCCCACAAUCGGGAACCAACCGUGCCAACGCGCGGCUAAUGCCGGAUAUUGUAGUCUACUGCAUAGUAGGCCAACGAAAGAUUUAUUGUUGUGGGAUGAGCUUGCGUCCGAUUAGCUAGUUGGCGGGUAAUAGCCCACCAAGGCGACGAUCGGUAGCCGGCCUGAGAGGGUGAUCGGCCACAUUGGGACUGAGAUACGGCCCAGACUCCGUACGGGAGGCAGCAGGUAGGGAAUAUUGCGCAAUGGGGGGAACCCUGACGCAGCGAACGCCACGUGUGGGAAGAAGCAUUUCGGUGUGUAAACCACUGUCGGAAAGGAAUAACGGAAGACUUCGGUCUUUAUGAAUGUACUUUUAGAGGAAGCACCGGCAAACUUCGUGCCAGCCGCCGC
Molecule: ribosomal RNA, 509 nt
Filed under: uncultured bacterium
Lineage: Bacteria
Description: bacterial SSU rRNA
Rfam family: Bacterial small subunit ribosomal RNA
Source: RNAcentral